GGAGAUACUGUGGCUCAGCGGAAGAGACUCUGGUUUGCAAGCAGAAGGUACCAGGUUCAGUUCCUGACAUCUCCA
Molecule: transfer RNA, 75 nt
Filed under: Sphaerodactylus townsendi
Lineage: Eukaryota; Metazoa; Chordata; Lepidosauria; Squamata; Sphaerodactylidae
Description: tRNA-Ala
Source: RNAcentral